UUGCUCGCUUCGGCAGCACAUAUACUAAAAUUGGAAUGAUACAGAGAAGAUCAGCAUGGCCCCUGCACAAGGAUGACAUGCAAAUUCGUGAAGCAUUCCAUAUUUAA
Lutra lutra (Eurasian river otter) is the source of this 107-nucleotide small nuclear RNA. The record is from RefSeq and is a predicted model, not a curated record. Lineage: Eukaryota; Metazoa; Chordata; Mammalia; Carnivora; Mustelidae.